This 72-nucleotide transfer RNA is filed under the name Candidatus Portnoybacteria bacterium CG10_big_fil_rev_8_21_14_0_10_38_18. Its description in RNAcentral is "tRNA-Arg". It matches the Rfam family "tRNA". Rfam says of the family: Transfer RNA (tRNA) molecules are approximately 80 nucleotides in length. Their secondary structure includes four short double-helical elements and three loops (D, anti-codon, and T loops). Lineage: Bacteria; Candidatus Portnoyibacteriota. The record is from RNAcentral.
GUCCCCAUAGCUUAACGGACAAAGCGCAACCCUCCGGAGGUUGAAAUCGAGGUUCGAUUCCUCGUGGGGGCA